RNAcentral lists this ribosomal RNA (601 nucleotides) under uncultured Actinomycetes bacterium. RNAcentral's name for it is "bacterial SSU rRNA". It matches the Rfam family "Bacterial small subunit ribosomal RNA", at positions 252 to 866 of the family's 1533-position model. The record is from RNAcentral. Lineage: Bacteria; Bacillati; Actinomycetota; Actinomycetes.
GUGAGGUAACGGCUCACCAAGGCUACGACGGGUAGCUGGUCUGAGAGGAUGGCCAGCCACAUUGGGACUGAGACACGGCCCAGACUCCUACGGGAGGCAGCAGUGGGGAAUAUUGCGCAAUGGCCGAAAGGCUGACGCAGCGACGCCGCGUGCGGGAUGAGGGCCCUCGGGUCGUAAACCGCUGUCAGGAGGGACGAAACUCUGACGGUACCUCCAGAGGAAGCACCGGCUAACUCCGUGCCAGCAGCCGCGGUAAUACGGAGGGUGCGAGCGUUGUCCGGAAUCACUGGGCGUAAAGGGCGCGUAGGCGGCACAGUAAGUAGGGGGUGAAAUCUCACGGCUCAACCGUGAAACUGCCUCCUAAACUGCUGAGCUCGAGCACGGUAGAGGCAGAUGGAAUUCCCGGUGUAGCGGUGGAAUGCGCAGAUAUCAGGAGGAACACCAGCGGCGAAGGCGCCGCUCUGGGCCGUAACUGACGCUGAGGAGCGAAAGCAUGGGUAGCAAACAGGAUUAGAUACCCUGGUAGUCCAUGCCGUAAACGUUGGGCACUAGGUGUGGGUCUCAACCAACGAGAUCCGCGCCGUCGCUAACGCAUUAAGUG